Long non-coding RNA from Lagopus muta (rock ptarmigan), 1140 nucleotides. RefSeq lists it as uncharacterized. Lineage: Eukaryota; Metazoa; Chordata; Aves; Galliformes; Phasianidae. The transcript is spliced from 2 exons. The record is from RefSeq and is a predicted model, not a curated record.
GCAUUCAAGAGCAGGGGCUCUGAGCACCUGUUUGAGCUGUAGGUGUCCCUGUGCACUGAAGGGCAGUUGUACGAGAUGACCUGUAAGGAUCCAUUCUAACUCAAAGGAUUCUAUGAGGACUGCUCCUGCCCUGCUCCAGGAAUCCCAGCUUCUGGCAGGUUCCUGCUAUCUUUCUGCUAGGUCCAGACCCAAAAUUAUGAACCCCUGUUUUCUGCAGCAGAAGCCCUAAGAACAUAGCCACAUUGAACAUAUGAGAAAAGAUACAAACCCAUUGAUUGCGCUGGAAACAGCAUUCAUUUUUUUGCAUCCUCCAAUUCGGGGAAAGAGCUCAAGGAUCUGCAUCUUCCUGCAACACAACAGUGCAUAACCUCUGGUGAUCGUAUAAUUCAAAUUUGUUUACUUAAGCCAAGAAGGUUUUAGGCUUUUGCUUAUAGAAACAUAAGUGGAUUGUGAUUAGAAAAGUUAUGUUUGGAUGUGGCUUUGAAGCCUUUUGAAGGGUCCUGUGGAGGUGCUUUCCAAGAAUGCAAGCAGGAUUACACUCAGACUUGUGUUAUUCAGAAUAAUUUUUUCCACAAAGCAAGCUCUAUUGGGUGUGGAUUUAGAACUUCUUAUCUCCUUUUGCACAUUUCUUAUUGCUUAGGCUAAUACAAGUUAAAAUUGUUCUACUCUUGUAGAGCAUGGUAACACUUACCCCAUAUUAUGCCAAGCUUGUUUUGGGAUAAAUGUCUAAGAGCAGUUAUUGCAAGAUAAAUAACAGGUGAGAAAAUCAUACUUAAUAACCUUGUAGUAACUUGUUCUUGUGGCUCAAUCCAAUCUCUUGAUAUUUGUUUGAAAUUGUCUUCCAUACCUACUGGUUGAAAAUUGGAAGGACAGCAUAUCUCUUGCAUCCAUAUUAUGAAAUGGGAAAUGUUUGUGAUGAAUUGUAAAAGCGGGAGGGGAGGUGGAGAAGACUUAGGGGGUACCAUUCUGACAAGCUGACAGUUUUAUAGUAAUUAAUUAACUGGAUUAACUCGUAAGUUUAGCAAACUAUUGUGCCAAAUGGGACAGUGGUUACAGUUUCCUGAGUAUAUUAGCUGAUUAGCAUUGAUUUACCAUCCAGAUCACUCUUGGAUUAAAUAAAGCUUUCAAAAAAAAAACAAA